GCCAUAUGAUGAUCUCCAGGCUAUUGUUACUUGGCUGGUCUGGUUGAGCCCUAGGACCCUUACCUUGCAUCCAGGUCUGUAAUCUUGGUGGGCAAUACAGAGCUGUGUUUGUUUGCUGUAAGGGCAGACCAACAAGAAGUUCCACCUCUUUUGCUCCCAUCUUCCUCUGAGGGGAGUGAUCCUGGCUGCCACUGAAAGAUCCUGGUAGCUGGAGUAGGGCAGAGGUAACAGGGCAAGCCUAGGGUAUUGAGGUCAAGGGUCCCAGAAGGCUUAGCUUAUGUUAUAGCCACCAAGAGAUGAGCACAGAUCUUUGGUAAUCUGAUGGCU
This 327-nucleotide small nucleolar RNA is filed under the name Phascolarctos cinereus (koala). Lineage: Eukaryota; Metazoa; Chordata; Mammalia; Diprotodontia; Phascolarctidae. The record is from RNAcentral.